RNAcentral lists this ribosomal RNA (477 nucleotides) under Triticum aestivum (bread wheat). RNAcentral's name for it is "partial small subunit ribosomal RNA". The record is from RNAcentral. Lineage: Eukaryota; Viridiplantae; Streptophyta; Magnoliopsida; Poales; Poaceae.
AUGGUGGCGAGGCAGGGGCGCGAGCUGCAGCGGUACAGCGCCAGCACGGGCGGCCGCAUCGUCGUCGGCUGCAUCCCCUACCGGGUGCGCGACGACAACGGCGAGGUGGAGGUGCUGGUCAUAUGCUCGCGGAAGAAGGGCGCCAGCGCGGGCGUGCUCUUCCCCAAGGGCGGGUGGGAGCUGGACGAAUCCAUGGACGAGGCGGCGCGGCGCGAGGCCCUGGAGGAGGCCGGCGUGCGCGGCGAGACGGGGCCCUCGCUGGGCCGCUGGUGCUACCAGAGCCGCAGCUACGAGGCCACCUACGAGGGGUACAUGUUCCCGCUGCGCGUCACGGACGAGCUGGAGCGCUGGCCCGAGAUGUCCGGCCGCGGCAGGACCUGGGUCACCGUGCAGGACGCCAUGGACCGCUGCCCGCACCUCUGGAUGCGCGAGGCGCUCCAGCGGUUCGCCGACCGCGUCGCCGACGCCGCCUUGUAG